GGUGAACUCCACCUCCAGGCAGAAUGAGGCUCUGCACCGCAGCCCUGCUUCUUCUACUGGCCAUCUGCCUCCCUCCAGGCCACGUUUCUGGACCAAGGCCAAGAAAGCUAUAUGUGUGAAUCCUACUGCCAGAUGGUUACCAAAAGUAUUAAAAUUUGUCCGAAGCAGAAGUAUUACUUCAACUCCCCAAGCUCCAGUGAGUAAGAAAAGAGCUGCCUGAAGCCACUGUCACCCCAAAAGACACCUGCACCCUUUCUUAAUCCCUGCUCGGAAUCUUAGUGUUACGUUCUUAGUUGAAGAAUUUCCAAGAAAAUAACUUCCCUCUACAAACACGGCUGUAGAUUAAAAGAAAAAAAUCCUGCAGUAGCUGAGAGGAGACACUCGAGCUCCUUCCCAUACUCAACCCAUAUUCUUGUUCCUUAAGGGAGGAUAUUUUCGAGCAGGCAUUUAGUGACAAGCCACUUUGGUAAUAGACCUGUUGUUUAGUGUUAAACUAUCCUAGACCCUAGAGGAAUAAAAGCAUACAUGUCGAAUCUGAACCCAUAGCUCCUACUAACAAGAGGUUUAUGAGAUGGACUUCAGUUAGUUUGCACCCUUGCAAAAAUCAGGCUUCCAGAAUAGUUUCCAGAAGGUCCCUAAGAAGCAGACGCAUUACCAGCCUAAGGUGAUGCAGAGCAGGUCUCCUUUAGAGAGAAUCUUCAUGAGGGAAAUAAUGCUUCGACUUUGAAAGGUUGCUUGUAC
This 741-nucleotide long non-coding RNA is filed under the name Rattus norvegicus (Norway rat). RNAcentral's name for it is "long non-coding RNA NONRATT009774". Lineage: Eukaryota; Metazoa; Chordata; Mammalia; Rodentia; Muridae. The record is from RNAcentral.